GCGCCUGUAGCUCAGAGGAUAGAGCAACGGACUUCUAAUCCGUAGGUCGCAGGUUCGAAUCCUGCCAGGCGCGCCA
This 76-nucleotide transfer RNA is filed under the name Deltaproteobacteria bacterium RBG_13_43_22. Its description in RNAcentral is "tRNA-Arg". It matches the Rfam family "tRNA". From Rfam's summary of the family: Transfer RNA (tRNA) molecules are approximately 80 nucleotides in length. Their secondary structure includes four short double-helical elements and three loops (D, anti-codon, and T loops). The record is from RNAcentral. RNAcentral also lists the same sequence under 5 other names. Lineage: Bacteria; Deltaproteobacteria.